GCUCAGAUUGAACGCUGGCGGCAGGCCUAACACAUGCAAGUCGAGCGGUAACAGGGGAAAGCUUGCUUUCUCGCUGACGAGCGGCGGACGGGUGAGUAAUGUAUGGGGAUCUGCCCGAUAGAGGGGGAUAACUACUGGAAACGGUGGCUAAUACCGCAUAAUCUCUCAGGAGCAAAGCAGGGGAACUUCGGUCCUUGCGCUAUCGGAUGAACCCAUAUGGGAUUAGCUAGUAGGUGAGGUAAUGGCUCACCUAGGCGACGAUCCCUAGCUGGUUUGAGAGGAUGAUCAGCCACACUGGGACUGAGACACGGCCCAGACUCCUACGGGAGGCAGCAGUGGGGAAUAUUGCACAAUGGGCGCAAGCCUGAUGCAGCCAUGCCGCGUGUAUGAAGAAGGCCUUAGGGUUGUAAAGUACUUUCAGUCGGGAGGAAGGCGUUGAUGCGAAUACCAUCAGCGA
This 457-nucleotide ribosomal RNA is filed under the name Providencia heimbachae. RNAcentral's name for it is "bacterial SSU rRNA". It matches the Rfam family "Bacterial small subunit ribosomal RNA", at positions 22 to 475 of the family's 1533-position model. The record is from RNAcentral. Lineage: Bacteria; Pseudomonadati; Pseudomonadota; Gammaproteobacteria; Enterobacterales; Morganellaceae.